GAACUGGGCUCUCUCUCUCUCUCUCUUUCUCUCUCUGGUUGCAUUUCACCAGCUAAGGAGUUGCAUUGGCUUCUGCUCUCCUGUCUUGCUCACCUACAUUGUGAGGCAGAUGAGAGUGGAGGCUGUAAAUCACCCUCUAUGCAAUGGCUUAUCAUAAAGGAUAUGGAGCAAAAUUAGAGGAGGCACGAGAAGGAAAGCUGGUGAUGAACAAGGAAAGUGCCUGGUUGAAGCUAGCUUGCAAUCCCAAAGUCAGAAGGUUGCCUGGGAAGCCAGGAAACAAAGCCAAAUCAAGGCAAAGCAGACACAUGGAGAUUUUGAGACUGAGAAGAGGGAAACUGAGGACAUUCAUGUGAGAUGGGGUUCAAGUUUCCCUUAGAAGGAGAAGUUAUCUUCAGAAGGUCAGGUUGGUGAGGUGGGAGUUCAAAAACAACAAAGUAUGUAGCUACCAUUGAGAGGAAGACCAUGGAAAAUGGACAAAUCAGGAUGAAAGGCUUUCUGAACAAGAAUAAGU
Molecule: long non-coding RNA, 511 nt
Filed under: Pongo abelii (Sumatran orangutan)
Lineage: Eukaryota; Metazoa; Chordata; Mammalia; Primates; Hominidae
Description: lincRNA
Source: RNAcentral